Molecule: ribosomal RNA, 90 nt
Filed under: Listeria monocytogenes
Lineage: Bacteria; Bacillati; Bacillota; Bacilli; Caryophanales; Listeriaceae
Source: RNAcentral
CCGCGUUCCCAUCCCGAACACGGUAGUUAAGCUUCUCUGCGCCAAUGGUAGUUGGGGGCUUCCCCCUGCGAGAGUAGGUCGCUGCCGGGC